UAGGGAAUCUUCGGCAAUGGACGAAAGUCUGACCGAGCAACGCCGCGUGAGUGAAGAAGGUUUUCGGAUCGUAAAACUCUGUUGUUAGAGAAGAACAAGGACGUUAGUAACUGAACGUCCCCUGACGGUAUCUACCCAGAAAGCCACGGCUAACUACGUGCCAGCAGCCGCGGUAAUACGUAGGUGGCAAGCGUUGUCCGGAUUUAUUGGGCGUAAAGCGAGCGCAGGGGGUUUCUUAAGUCUGAUGUGAAAGCCCCCGGCUCAACCGGGGAGGGUCAUUGGAAACUGGGAGACUUGCGUGCAGAAGGGGAGAGUGGAAUUCCAUGUGUAGCGGGGAAAUGCGUGGAUAUAUGGAGGAACACCAGUGGCGAAGGCGGCUCUCUGGUCUGUAACUGACGCUGAGGCUCGAAAGCGUGGGGAGCAAACAGG
RNAcentral lists this ribosomal RNA (429 nucleotides) under Gemmatimonadota bacterium. RNAcentral's name for it is "Gemmatimonadetes bacterium partial 16S ribosomal RNA". It matches the Rfam family "Bacterial small subunit ribosomal RNA", at positions 355 to 776 of the family's 1533-position model. Lineage: Bacteria; Pseudomonadati; Gemmatimonadota. The record is from RNAcentral.